UAAUGCUGGAAGAACUCAACUGUACAAGUGU
Molecule: non-coding RNA, 31 nt
Filed under: Homo sapiens (human)
Lineage: Eukaryota; Metazoa; Chordata; Mammalia; Primates; Hominidae
Source: RNAcentral